AAUGGACGCUGGCGGCAUGCCUAACACAUGCAAGUCGAACGAAGCCUUCGGGCUUAGUGGCGCACGGGUGCGUAACGCGUGGGAAUCUGCCCUUGGGUUCGGAAUAACUCUCCGAAAGGAGUGCUAAUACCGGAUGAUGUCGAAAGACCAAAGAUUUAUCGCCCAGGGAUGAGCCCGCGUAGGAUUAGCUAGUUGGUGAGGUAAAAGCUCACCAAGGCGACGAUCCUUAGCUGGUCUGAGAGGAUGAUCAGCCACACUGGGACUGAGACACGGCACAGACUCCUACGGGAGGCAGCAGUGGGGAAUAUUGGACAAUGGGCGAAAGCCUGAUCCAGCAAUUCGGCGUGAGUGAUGAAGGCCUUAGGGUUGUAAAGCUCUUUUACCCGGGAUGAUAAUGACAGUACCGGGAGAAUAAGCCCCGGCUAACUCCGUGCCAGCAGCCGCCGUAA
This 449-nucleotide ribosomal RNA is filed under the name uncultured bacterium. Its description in RNAcentral is "partial 16S ribosomal RNA". It matches the Rfam family "Bacterial small subunit ribosomal RNA", at positions 29 to 523 of the family's 1533-position model. The record is from RNAcentral.